This 253-nucleotide ribosomal RNA is filed under the name uncultured bacterium. RNAcentral's name for it is "partial 16S ribosomal RNA". It matches the Rfam family "Bacterial small subunit ribosomal RNA", at positions 524 to 776 of the family's 1533-position model. The record is from RNAcentral.
UACGAAGGGGGCUAGCGUUGUUCGGAUUUACUGGGCGUAAAGCGCACGUAGGCGGAUCGUUAAGUCAGGGGUGAAAUCCUGGGGCUCAACCCCAGAACUGCCUUUGAUACUGGCGAUCUCGAGUCCGGAAGAGGUGAGUGGAACUCCUAGUGUAGAGGUGGAAUUCGUAGAUAUUAGGAAGAACACCAGUGGCGAAGGCGGCUCACUGGUCCGGUACUGACGCUGAGGUGCGAAAGCGUGGGGAGCGAACAGG